GGCAGCCGCUGGUACGUCCAGAGGAAAGUCCAUGCUCGCACGGUCUGCGAUGGCCGUAGUGUUUGUGCCGGCCGAAAAAAUAAGGCCGGGCAUCCUUGACAGGAUGACGGCGGACACGAACCCUAAAGGCUUAUGCCCAUGGCGGAGGUCCCUAAGGUGUCACAGUGACGGAGUCUGCGUGGAAACGCGCAGAGUGGAACGCGAUAAACCCCUCAAGCGAGAAACCCAAAUUUGGUAGGGGAACCGGAAAGGGCGAAAUGAAGCCACGAUCCGGCUGCAUAUGCAGAGAUAAAUGGCUGCCACGCGCUUUGCGCGGACAGAACAUGGCUUAU
RNAcentral lists this RNase P RNA (332 nucleotides) under uncultured Bulleidia sp. RNAcentral's name for it is "Bacterial RNase P class B". It matches the Rfam family "Bacterial RNase P class B". Rfam says of the family: Ribonuclease P (RNase P) is a ubiquitous endoribonuclease, found in archaea, bacteria and eukarya as well as chloroplasts and mitochondria. Its best characterised activity is the generation of mature 5'-ends of tRNAs by cleaving the 5'-leader elements of precursor-tRNAs. Cellular RNase Ps are ribonucleoproteins. The record is from RNAcentral. Lineage: Bacteria; Bacillati; Bacillota; Erysipelotrichia; Erysipelotrichales; Erysipelotrichaceae.